AUUGAACGCUGGCGGCAUGCCUUACACAUGCAAGUCGAACGGCAGCACGGGAGCAAUCCUGGUGGCGAGUGGCGAACGGGUGAGUAAUAUAUCGGAACGUGCCCAGUCGUGGGGGAUAACGUAGCGAAAGCUACGCUAAUACCGCAUACGAUCUAUGGAUGAAAGCGGGGGAUCGCAAGACCUCGCGCGAUUGGAGCGGCCGAUAUCAGAUUAGGUAGUUGGUGAGGUAAAGGCUCACCAAGCCGACGAUCUGUAGCUGGUCUGAGAGGACGACCAGCCACACUGGGACUGAGACACGGCCCAGACUCCUACGGGAGGCAGCAGUGGGGAAUUUUGGACAAUGGGCGGCAAGCCUGAUCCAGCAAUGCCGCGUGCAGGAUGAAGGCCUUCGGUUGGUAAC
Molecule: ribosomal RNA, 400 nt
Filed under: uncultured bacterium
Lineage: Bacteria
Description: bacterial SSU rRNA
Rfam family: Bacterial small subunit ribosomal RNA
Source: RNAcentral